RNAcentral lists this transfer RNA (73 nucleotides) under Felis catus (domestic cat). It matches the Rfam family "tRNA". From Rfam's summary of the family: Transfer RNA (tRNA) molecules are approximately 80 nucleotides in length. Their secondary structure includes four short double-helical elements and three loops (D, anti-codon, and T loops). The record is from Rfam by way of RNAcentral. RNAcentral also lists the same sequence under 2 other names. Lineage: Eukaryota; Metazoa; Chordata; Mammalia; Carnivora; Felidae.
GCCCGGCUGGCUCAGUUGGUAGAGUAUGUGACUCUUGAUCUUGAGGUUGUGAGUUCAAGCCCCAUGCUGGGUA